GACGAACGCUGGCGGCGUGCCUAAUACAUGCAAGUAGAACGCUGAAGAGAGGAGCUUGCUCUUCUUGGAUGAGUUGCGAACGGGUGAGUAACGCGUAGGUAACCUGCCUGGUAGCGGGGGAUAACUAUUGGAAACGAUAGCUAAUACCGCAUAACAACAGUUGUUGCAUGACAGCUGUUUAAAAGAUGCAAUUGCAUCACUACCAGAUGGACCUGCGUUGUAUUAGCUAGUUGGUGAGGUAACGGCUCACCAAGGCGACGAUACAUAGCCGACCUGAGAGGGUGAUCGGCCACACUGGGACUGAGACACGGCCCAGACUCCUACGGGAGGCAGCAGUAGGGAAUCUUCGGCAAUGGGGGGAAGCCUGACCGAGCAACGCCGCGUGAGUGAAGAAGGGUUUCGGAUCGUAAAGCUCUGUUGUAAGAGAAGAACGGGUGUGAGAGUGGAAAGUUCACACUGUGACGGUAUCUUACCAGAAAGGGACGGCUAACUACGUG
RNAcentral lists this ribosomal RNA (497 nucleotides) under uncultured bacterium. RNAcentral's name for it is "partial 16S ribosomal RNA". It matches the Rfam family "Bacterial small subunit ribosomal RNA", at positions 28 to 507 of the family's 1533-position model. The record is from RNAcentral.